GAGUUUGAUCAUGGCUCAGAACGUACGCUGGCGGCACGCCUAACACAUGCAAGUCGAACGAAGUAGCAAUACUUAGUGGCAGACGGGUGAGUAACAUGUAGGUAUCUGCCCUUUGGCCUGGAAUAACACGAGGAAACUUGUGCUAAUACCGGAUAAGUCUUUACGGAGAAAGCUUUAUGCACCAUUGGAUGAGCCUGCACUUGAUUAGUUUGUUGGUGGGGUAAUGGCCUACCAAGACUUUGAUCAAUAGCUGAUUUGAGAGGAUGAUCAGCCACAUUGGGACUGAGACACGGCCCAAACUCCUACGGAAGGCAGCAGUGGGGAAUCUUGCACAAUGGAGGAAACUCUGAUGCAGCGAUGCCGCGUGAGUGAAGAAGGCCUUUGGGUUGUAAAGCUCUUUCGUCGGGGAAGAAAAUGACUGUACCCGAAUAAGAAGGUCCGGCUAACUUCGUGCCAGCAGCCGCGGUAAUACGAAGGGACCUAGCGUAGUUCGGAAUUACUGGGCUUAAAGAGUUCGUAGGUGGUUGAAAAAGUUGGUGGUGAAAUCCCAGAGCUUAACUCUGGAACUGCCAUCAAAACUUUUCAGCUAGAGUUUGAUAGAGGAAAGCAGAAUUUCUAGUGUAGAGGUGAAAUUCGUAGAUAUUAGAAAGAAUACCAAUUGCGAAGGCAGCUUUCUGGAUCAUUACUGACACUGAGGAACGAAAGCAUGGGUAGCGAAGAGGAUUAGAUACCCUCGUAGUCCAUGCCGUAAACGAUGUGUGUUAGACGUUGGAAAUUUAUUUUCAGUGUCGCAGCGAAAGCGAUAAACACACCGCCUGGGGAGUACGACCGCAAGGUUAAAACUCAAAUGAAUUGACGGGGACCCGCACAAGUAGUGGAGCAUGUGGUUUAAUUCGAAGAUACGCGCAGAACCUUACCAACACUUGACAUGUUCGUCGCGACUUUAAGAGAUUAAAGUUUUCGGUUCGGCCGGACGAAACACAGGUGCUGCAUGGCUGUCGUCAGCUCGUGUCGUGAGAUGUUGGGUUAAGUCCCGCAACGAGCGCAACCCUCACUUUUAGUUGCCAUCAUUAAGUUGGGCACUCUGAAAGAACUGCCAGUGAUAAGCUGGAGGAAGGUGGGGAUGACGUCAAGUCCUCAUGGCCCUUACGUGUUGGGCUACACACGUGCUACAAUGGUAUCUACAACAGGAAGCAAAACGGCAACGUUAAGCAAAUCCCUAAAAGAUACCUCAGUUCGGAUUGCACUCUGCAACUCGAGUGCAUGAAGCUGGAAUUACUAGUAAUCGUGGAUCAGCGUGCCACGGUGAAUGCGUUCCCGGGUCUUGUACACACCGCCCGUCACACCAUGGGAGUUGGUUCUACCUUAAGGCAAGGUUUAAUACCCUUGACCACGGUAUAGUCAGCGACUGGGGUGAAGUCGUAACAAGGUAACC
Molecule: ribosomal RNA, 1435 nt
Filed under: uncultured marine bacterium
Lineage: Bacteria
Description: bacterial SSU rRNA
Rfam family: Bacterial small subunit ribosomal RNA
Source: RNAcentral